Molecule: ribosomal RNA, 253 nt
Filed under: uncultured bacterium
Lineage: Bacteria
Description: partial 16S ribosomal RNA
Rfam family: Bacterial small subunit ribosomal RNA
Source: RNAcentral
GACGAACCGUGCGAACGUUGUUCGGAUUCACUGGGCUUAAAGGGCGCGUAGGCGGCUUGCCAAGUCAGGGGUGAAAUCUUUCGGCUCAACCGGAAAAGUGCUUCUGAUACUGGCAGGCUGGAGGGAGGUAGGGGCAGAUGGAACUUCCGGUGGAGCGGUGAAAUGCGUAGAUAUCGGAAGGAACGCCGGUGGCGAAAGCGGCGUACUGGGUCUUUUCUGACGCUGAGGCACGAAAGCUAGGGUAGCGAACGGG